CCAACUUCAAGAUAAGAUUUCCCACCGCAAGGGUAAGACCCCAGAAAGACUAUCUGGUUGAUAGGUCGAAGGUGUAAGUGUAGCAAUGUAUUUAGCUUAUCGAUACUAAUAGGUCGAGGACUUGACCAA
Molecule: ribosomal RNA, 129 nt
Filed under: Clostridioides difficile
Lineage: Bacteria; Bacillati; Bacillota; Clostridia; Peptostreptococcales; Peptostreptococcaceae
Description: partial 23S ribosomal RNA
Rfam family: Bacterial large subunit ribosomal RNA
Source: RNAcentral